This 5576-nucleotide long non-coding RNA is filed under the name Elaeis guineensis (African oil palm). RNAcentral describes it as "long non-coding RNA (EGUI_LNC071035)". The record is from RNAcentral. Lineage: Eukaryota; Viridiplantae; Streptophyta; Magnoliopsida; Arecales; Arecaceae.
UACAUGGUCCACCAUUUGAUCAAUCUCACUUUUCUCUUGUGUCUCCAUCAUCUCUCUUGUCGCACUUGUCUGUCCAACCUCUCUUUUCUCUUUUCUUCUACCCAUUUUCUGGCCGUUGUUGCAAAACUGAACAAGAACUCACUAGAUGAAAAGAAAAAGAAAAAAGAAAGAAUCAAUAGUGCAUCAAUUAAUCAAAUCCAGAUUCUUAAAAAAUCAACUGAAUGCCAAUCUUUCAGCCAUUCUAUCCAAGAACACAUACCAACAUAUGAGUAAAAUUUGAAAAGAAAAACAAAAAGAACUGAUUGGUUAAUCACAUUAAGGAUAAAAAAAUCAAAAAAUUAUACAAUAUCUAAAAGAAGAAUGUCUAACGAAACAUUCACCAAAAUAAUAUUUUUUAAAGCCAUCCCACUAAUGAUAUUCAAAAAAUCCGACCUAAAAUUAAAAAAAGAACCAAUAAUCUUACUUAGUAAAGAAACAAGAACAAAAAAAGAUAGUAGAACAAAAGGGAAAAGUUAAAAGAAACUCAUGUCCCAAUGAGUAUAUUUCUCUAAAACCAUUAUAUUUAACAAAAACUAUGGAUCAAAAAACUUUCAAAUAAUAUCUCAUAAGUAUUGGAGUGAAAGAUUCGAGUUAUAAAAAGUUAUACACUGAACAGCAGAUUGACAAAGAUUCAAAAAGAUAUUAGUCGAGAAAAAGGAAUGAUAAACACACCAAAAUUCAAAAAAAAAGAAUUAUCAAUAGAUUCCAAUGAAAGAAAAUAUGUUAUGUGUGUAUGUUGGGGGACGGUGGGGAGAGACCUUCGUGAGCUCGAGAAGUCUUUGAUGACGCCAAUUAUUCCUCCAAUGAAAUCUUGAGUCUUUCGCUUAUUUAUAAAGGUUUGAGAGAGAGAGGAAUGGAGAAGAAUGGAGAGAUGAGGAACUCUCGGGGGAGAACUGAGUACGGAGGAAAAUAUAAGCCAUUCUCUCGUGGAUUUUUUUUUUCUUGAUAAAGAUUUUCUUGUGGAUUUGAGUUCAAACUACUUCAAAGGUACUUUGAAUGUGAAAAAAUUGAUUAAAUGACUAAAAGAAGAGGCAGAACUUUUAGUCAAUGGCAGAUUUUAAACCAUCCAAAGGAACAUCUAUGUUGAUGUAUAUCAAUUGCUGAGACAAGAAAAUAUUAUUAACCCAGGGGCCUUCUAUCACACUGGUAUUCUCUGAAGUGCCCACAAUCCAUGAAUAUUGAUCCAUAAUCCAUUACCAGAGAACUAGCUUAAUAUACUGCCUUCCAAAUGGAUAAGCAUGUGUUAGAGUGCGGAUCAUGAUCCAAACACCAUGAAGACUAUAUUUAGUAGCAAUGAUAUGAUUAACCCAACUGACACUUAGAAUAGGCAGCAAGGAAGAACCAGCAGAGGGCUCAGCAAAAGCAAGCAAACAAAGGCCAACCAAAGAUCAGCAUGCCACUAUCCUACCACUUGCCAAUGCAAGUAAUAGUCAACCCUGGCAGUGUUUGCAGAAAUCUAUACACUACAUUAACCCUAUGUUUGGUCGGGAUCAUAAGAGGAUGGAUGGAUGAGGUUGGAAGGAUGGCCUCCAUCCACCGUUUGAUUCAAAAAGUUGCAGGCAGGAUGGAUGAAAGAGGGGUUGUCCAUCCACCCUGGCCCAUCAAUUUGCAUCCUCUCAAAUUGAAAAGAUGCAAGGAUGGAUGGAGCAUUGAUGAGAAGAUUUUUGCAUUGAAAAAAUUAUCCCUCAUUAAUUUUUUUGACAAAACUAUAAUAUUUCUUCACUUUUCAUUCAUAUUAUUUAUAUAUAUUUUUAUAUAUACUAUUAAUCAUAUACUAUUAAAUUUUGUUACUAAUUAUUUUAAUUUUAGUACAUAAUUUUGAUAAUUAUAAUUAAAUAAUUAGAAUUAUCUUCUAUUUCUCUAUUUUUAUUUAUUAUUUUUAAUUAACUAUUUGUAUAAUAUUAAUUAACUAUUUAAAUUAAAUUAUAAAUUAAUUAAUUAUUUAUAUAAGUAAUAUAUAUAAUUAAUUUAUUAAUAUUUCAUUCAUAAAAUUAUUUAUUAAAUUAAAUUAAAAUUAAAUACUUAUAUAAUUUUUUAUAUAAUUAUAGAUUAUAAUGAUUAUAAGCUUAUACCUUGUUUACUUCUUUAGUAUAAAUAAGUGUUAUAAAUUGAUAAUGAUAAUUUUUUUAUCAAAGGAUAGUUUGGUAAAAAUAUUAUAUAAAUAUCAUCCAUUCUCUCUUUCAUUCCUUCCAUACCAAACGGAAGAGAAGAUUAUUUUCAUCCAUCCUUCCAUAUUUAAUCAAGCAUAUGAAAUAUGGAAGGAUGGAUGGAAGAUACAUCUAUCCUCUCCCUCAUCCAUCCUUCUUCCAUCCAUCCUCUCUCUUAUCCAUCCUCCUACAUCCAUUCUUCUUUCAAUCCAUCUUUGUACCAAAGGAGGUUAAAGGAGAGUCCAAAGCCUCCCCAUGCCACUUCAUGAUAUGUGGUGCCUCUCAUUGACAACACAUGCCUGCUUCUGAACUCCCCUAUGCAAACUAAAAAAAAAGAGUGGUGGGAUUUCCUUUUUCCUUUUAGCAAGAUACAUGAGAACAGAACACCUUGAAUUGAAAUUUUUGUUAUCCAAAGAAGAAUCCUUUCGACGGAAAAUCACUAAACCCUACAAUCAUGCUUCUACCAAGAUUAAGCUCUCAAAAUCUCAAAGAGCCAACUCACACCACCACAACUCGCAUAAUAUCCUUGAGAAAAAAAAACCCCCAAUCAAAACUUAAGAAACCUCUCCGACAAAAUGAAACAAAAGCCAAAAGAAAAAAAACUGAUCAAUCUAUGUGGGAAAAGGUCUUACCUUUUAUUUUUUUCCAUCUUUCCCUAUUUUUGUUGAUUUUUUUAUGUUUUCCCCCAACUUUUCCUCUGUUUUUUCCAUCCCCAUGAGUCUCAAUCAGGUGGGAGGCUUGGAGUAGCAAUUGAAUAGGGAAGCUCAGACGAUGGCUAGGCUUUUUGUUGGGUGCUUAUAUAUUUAAUUUUUUUUCCAUCUUUCCUCGGGAGUCUUAAUUGGAUGGAAGGCUUGGAGUGGCGGCCAAAUAAAGAAGCUGAGAUGACGGCUGGGUUUUUCUAUUGGGUAGUGUUGCACCCUAAAUCUGGGACAUAACACGGCCAUACUAUCGAGAGAUGCUACCCUCGAUAAUACAAAGUCUAAUCAGUUAAAAUCUAUCAUAAAUAAAAUAUGAUAAAAGAUUCAAUUCUACCAUUCAUCAAGUAAUUAAACUAAGAUUGGUUCAGAGUAUCUAAAUCCAAAAUCAAAUACCAAACCUAUAUCUCAAAAUUCAUAAAUAGUUAACUACAAGUCUAAGAUAAUCUAAUAAACUAAGUUUUAACUACAAAAUUCUUAAGCUUGAUAUGCAGACCCCUAAUCCUGGAUCCUUCAUCAUUCCAAACCUUAUACCUCUUUUUUAAGAAAAAAAACUAAAGAGGUAUGAGUUACACUAGCUCAAUAAGUAAAACCCAUACUUCCUUACCAGAUCAAGCAUAAACUUUUACAUGAUAAUGCAAUAUUUAAAAUAAUAGAUAUUACAAAAAUAAAUUACUUCAUAGAUUAUAUAAUAAAAUAAAUCAUAAACCAGUCAUCCAUGCAUAAAUUAUAAAUAUUUUGUAAAUAUAAUUCAUAAAUCAUUCUUGUCAUAUAUUCAUAUCAUAUUUUAAAAUAUUACUCUCAGAUGUUUAUACUACAGUCAUUUUAUAACUGUGACAAGGUCAGUGUUCCUGAUCGACAAAAUUCUUAUUUUGUAUGCCAACUUUAUACUCACUGGAAAGACAUAUGUUCUUAUGAAUGCUAGCUUCGAAUGUUGCCUUCCCAUAGAGAUUCAUUCAUAGCUAUCUGAGAGUUUUUUAAAUCUUUUUUUUUAAAAAAAAGAUACAUAUAUGUAGGUGAAAAAAUAAUAAAUUCAUAUUUCAUAAACAUGUUAUUUUUAUAAAAUAUAUUUAUAGAAUCAAUGAUCAUAAUAAAACAUAAUUUUUCAUAUCUCAUAUGAUGAUCCAUAUUUUAUAAAAAAAUAUGAUUUCAUCAACAACUGAUUAUUUGCAUGAAAAAUAUGAUAAUUUAAAAAAAAUAAGUAGCAUAAAAUCCACUUACCUUGUUUGCUCUAAAUCUUUAGACUCCGUUCGAAGAAUCAGAUAAUCAUAUUUAAAAUAUCAAAAAUAUGAUCAAUUUCUAUUCAAUGAAUUCAAUAAAAUUAAAUCAUAAAAAAAGAGAACUGUUGAUCGGAUGUUCGAUCCGAUAGGUUGUCUAGGCAUUGGAUAAUUCAAGGUCCCCUAGACGAGGGUCAGAGCUAAGCGACUUGAUUAAAGAAUCAUGAAGCAUGGAUUAGAUCAAGACCAAGAUCGAUCAACGGAUUCAUCAAUAGUAGAUUUCAGAAAUACUCAAUAUGGCCGUAUUGAAAUUGACGUACAGCACGAAUAUCAAAGCAGUUUUAGAUCAUCUUGUUGGAAUCAACAUAGAUAUAUAGAAGAGGAAGGCAUGGCUCGAAACUGGAGUCCCUAGAUCUUCUUAGAGAGAAAAAAUAGGUGAAGAGAGAAAAACUAGAGAGAGAAAAUAGAGAUAGAAUCUCUGUAUCCCUCAAAAAGCAAAUCAUGAUUGAGAUCAUCGGGGGUCAUAACAGAGUGACUCAAUAGAGGUUAACAGUGAUCAGAUUCUAUGAAUAUCUAGUAAGGGUCGGACUAAGAUUUGACAUACUAUAUGGACAUCAAAGUGAUCCGGAUCUUUUUGAAAAAAAUCAUCUCAAGUUCGUACUGGAGUCCAUGGAUCAAGUAGAGAAAGAGAGAGAGUAGAGAGAGAAAGAGAGAUGGUAGAGAGAGACAUAAGAGAGAAGGAGAGAGAGAGACAAGAGUCCGCUCUUUUUCUUUUUCUUUUUUUCUUUUCUUCUUAUUUUCUUUUCUUCUUCUUCGUUUCUUAUCUUCUACCUUUUCUUGGCCGAACAGGGGAGGGAUACGGGUGGGGUUUGGUGCUCCAGCGGGGUGCCGCGGCACAGCCAGAGGUCUAGCAGCGGGAGGCCGACAGCGGUGGGCAGAAGUGGACGGCCGGCGGCAGUGGUUGCCGGUAAGAAAUCAUGGAAAAAGGGCUCGAAAAAACAGGGCAUCCGGGGGCUUUUCUUUGUUUUUGGCCGUCGGCCGUGGACUUGCUGUGUAGGGUUGAGGGGAGGUCGGCGUAUUCGGCCUAGGACCCGGCUUCAAGGGACGGAGACGCCGCCGGCUGGAAAAAGAAAAUAAAAACUUGGAAAAACAGGGGAUGAACAGAGUUCUUAUUUUGCGGUGGGAUUCCGAUGAAACCGGCGGCCGUCGGUGGUGCUUAAGGUCAAGAGAAGAUGGGGAAGAGGGAGAGGAGGUGGGAUUGGGGCCUUACCUUGGCUCUGUGGGCUCUUAGCUUCGAUAUCCGGCGGGCGUAAGCACAGGAGGCCGCGGCUUCAAAAGGAGAAAAGAGGGAGAAGGAGGCUCGAUGAUUGCUGGUGCGGGCCCACAGGGGACGUGGGGGAAACUUGUAGAGAGCCUUAGGGUCUUCCCAGCCCUAGGACUCCGACACUUCUCGGAUUCAAUCGGAGAAGAAGGCUUCC